RNAcentral lists this ribosomal RNA (466 nucleotides) under uncultured bacterium. RNAcentral's name for it is "bacterial SSU rRNA". It matches the Rfam family "Bacterial small subunit ribosomal RNA", at positions 29 to 470 of the family's 1533-position model. The record is from RNAcentral.
AACGAACGCUGGCGGCGUGCUUAACACAUGCAAGUCGAACGCGAACGUUUUCUUCGGAAACUAGUAGAGUGGCGCACGGGUGAGUAACGCGUAAGUAAUCUACCCUCGCAUCUGGGAUAACCCACCGAAAGGUGUGCUAAUACCUGAUACGUCUGGAAUUAUACUUUGAAUCUAGAGAAAGGUGGCCUCUUCAUGAAAGCUACUGUGCGGGGAGGAGCUUGCGUACCAUUAGCUAGUUGGUAGGGUAAGGGCCUACCAAGGCAUUGAUGGUUAGCGGGUCUGAGAGGAUGAUCCGCCACACUGGAACUGGAACACGGACCAGACUCCUACGGGAGGCAGCAGUGAGGAAUAUUGCGCAAUGGGGGCAACCCUGACGCAGCGACGCCGCGUGGAUGAUGAAGGCCUUCGGGUUGUAAAAUCCUGUCAGAUGGGAAGAAGUGCAUUAUGUCCAAUACACAUAAUGUUU